UACGUAGGGUCCGAGCGUUGUCCGGAAUUAUUGGGCGUAAAGAGCUCGUAGGCGGUUUGUCGCGUCUGCUGUGAAAUCCCGAGGCUCAACCUCGGGCCUGCAGUGGGUACGGGCAGACUGGAGUGCGGUAGGGGAGAAUGGAAUUCCUGGUGUAGCGGUGGAAUGCGCAGAUAUCAGGAGGAACACCGGUGGCGAAGGCGGGUCUCUGGGCCGAUACUGACGCUGAGGAGCGAAAGCAUGGGUAGCGAACAGG
This 253-nucleotide ribosomal RNA is filed under the name uncultured bacterium. RNAcentral describes it as "partial 16S ribosomal RNA". It matches the Rfam family "Bacterial small subunit ribosomal RNA", at positions 524 to 776 of the family's 1533-position model. The record is from RNAcentral.